AACCUUUACACUGCACGCCAGUGCGAUAAGGGGACUCCAAGUGCGAGGGCAUAUAGUCCUCGCUUUUCUGGACCGUAAGGUGGUCCAGGAACAAGUGCUGGGCAAGACCGGUGCCAGCCGCCGCGGUAAUACCGGCAGCACGAGUGAUGGCCGCUCUUAUUGGGCCUAAAGCGUCCGUAGCUGGCCGAUCAAGUCCGUCGGGAAAUCCGCACGCCUAACGUGCGGGCGUCCGGUGGAAACUGAUCGGCUUGGGACCGGAAGACCAGAGGGGUACGUCCGGGGUAGGAGUGAAAUCCCGUAAUCCUGGACGGACCACCGGUGGCGAAAGCGCCUCUGGAAGACGGAUCCGACGGUGAGGGACGAAAGCUCGGGUCACGAACCGGAUUAGAUACCCGGGUAGUCCGAGCUGUAAACGAUGUCUGCUAGGUGUGACACAGGCUACGAGCCUGUGUUGUGCCGUAGGGAAGCCGUGAAGCAGACCGCCUGGGAAGUACGUCCGCAAGGAUGAAACUUAA
RNAcentral lists this ribosomal RNA (515 nucleotides) under uncultured archaeon. Its description in RNAcentral is "bacterial SSU rRNA". It matches the Rfam family "Archaeal small subunit ribosomal RNA", at positions 345 to 859 of the family's 1478-position model. The record is from RNAcentral.